Molecule: unclassified non-coding RNA, 2148 nt
Filed under: Rhipicephalus microplus (southern cattle tick)
Lineage: Eukaryota; Metazoa; Arthropoda; Arachnida; Ixodida; Ixodidae
Description: mediator of RNA polymerase II transcription subunit 21-like, transcript variant X2
Source: RNAcentral
ACAUCAUGGCCGACCGGUUAACGCAACUUCAAGACGCAGUGAAUGCGCAAGCGGACAAUUUCUGCAACAGCAUCGGUAUCCUGCAACAGUAUGCGCCACCCAGCAGCUUCCCGGAGUUCGAGAAGUCCGUCUCGAAGCCCGGUCAUCAACCGCAAGAAGACUACCCACAGUUGUUUGCGACACUGAUAGCCAGGACUGCAAAGGAUAUCGAUGUCCUGAUCGACUCCCUGCCAAGUGAAGAAGCUUCUCCUGAGCUACAGUUAAUUUUAAGAAAAAUAUUGCCAUGUUCCUUGCGGACGAUGCUCCUGAUUGUGCGGAGGAACGUCAUCUGAAAGACAUCCCAGCUUGGCAGCGUGGGCUCCCGGUUCUCGAACCACACCUUUGCGGUGUCUUCUAGGUGCUCCAUGGAAGCUUGGUGGCUCCCUGGGUAGGUGCAUCACAAUAGCCGCAGGCAGUGGCGCAGAGGCAGUCAUCGUUGCAGCAGUGGCCGUCAUUGUGGAAGUGCGAGUCUUGUUGGGUAAAGGCCUGUACUCCAGUGGUACACCUUGUUGCCUACGGCUGACUCGCUGGUCGUGGUUGGCAUCGGUGUCUUCUCUACGACAUGGACUCGGUUCACGGCUGGAAGGGGGCGUGCAGUACAUGGAUUACCCAGCACCUCGGCCAGAUGUUACGGCGUCGUGACAACGACGAAUAGAGCAGGUCGAAGAUUGAAGGGUUUAUUUGGGCUGAACUUGUGGCCAACAAAUGAAAAGUAAGAUUACAGCGAGGCACUGGCACUAACAGCGGUAGGCAGAGCGUCAGCCGUCGAUCAACCGACAAGCGGCGAAGCGCGUUGGCAUUUAUACACUUGCCAUCGAAUGCUCUAGCAUUAUGGCUAGCGGCGACAUAGGUUCCAGAAUAAUCUGUACUGUUCUCGAUGUGGGCAUAAUCUUAAAACAACAAUCUAUUAUUGGAACAUCGUAGGCGCGGUUUGCACUGAACGUAGUGUAACGCGGUGAUAACAAAACCUGAGGAAAGGAACAUGGCAUGGAACUCUACAACGACGCCAUGCUGCCAAACGUCGCUAAUGAAGAAGCUUGAGGUCACCGAGCGUGGAAGAAGCUCGUCAACUCGCCCGUUUGUGCAUCAAGAAUCGGCAGGCGGCUCCGCUGUUUUAAUCUUUAAUGAAGCUUCGUGGAGUACCAGCCCGGUGACCGUAUCUGGGUAUGGAUGCCGAUACGCCAACGUGGACUCGGUGAAAAACUUCUGCGACAAUAUGUCGGACCGUACAGAGUAGCUCGAUGUCUUGGACCACUGGAUUAGAAGGUUGUUCCCGACAGCAUUACCAACUCUCAACGGUGCCGUGCUCGACUUGAAGUCCUCCAUGUAGUGCGCCUCAAGCCAUUUCAUGCGUGAACCUGAGGACUGUAUUCUGUUAUUCUUGCUGUGCUUUAUUGCUUGUACUUAUUGUUUAUUGUCUUUAUUAUUGUGCCUUCAUCUUUUGUUAAAGCAUCACUACGAUGCCUUUUUCAGAGGGGGGCAAUGCCACGUUGCUUUCCUCAAGUUUUAUUAUCGCUCCGUUACACAACGUUCAGCACAAACCAUGCCUACGAUGUUCGAAAAGCUUUGAGGCUGUAGUAGAUCACUGUGUUAAGAUUACGCCCACUUCGUGAACAUUGCAGAUUAUUCUGGAACCUACGUCGCCGCUAGCGAUAAUGCUUGAACAUUCGAUGGCGAGUGUAUAAAUGCCGACUCCCUUUGAGAGUGUAUAAAUGCAGUGCUACCUUUGAGAGAAUUGUUUGCCAAUCAAAACAGACAAUUUUUUUCCUCGUUAAGCAGCUCAGAUGCGUUAUAUUCUGAAAGAGCCUUCUCUGGGCUGCACAUUAUGCACACUAUCUUACCGAUCUGGCACAUGUUUUAGUCUGCAGAUGUUCAUACUGAUAGAUCUAGCUGUAUAAAAGAAUUCGUCAAGCAGGGGUGCAAUAACUGGACAGCUUCUGUGCUUCAGGCAUCUGCGUUGGUGCUAUGCGUAGUAUGUACCUUGUUUGCUCAUGAACGCUGAUGCAUGCAUAUUGUUUACUGCUGUAUGUGCUAAAAUAUUACUUAUGUGGUCAUUAUUUUAUGUAAACAUCGAUUGAUUGACUCGCAAUAAAACUAUUUAUUGCUGCA